AUGUUCCUAAGUUUUAUCAACUUUGAAGGCUUCCUAAGCACUCUAGGACAUCAAACACACAUUCCUUACAUAAUAUAACCCCUGGCCGCACCUCCUUGCUCUUUCCUCUUCCUUACCGUGCAAGGGAGAGGGUACUUUCCUGCUUCUAUGCAUUAAAACACAUUCCUAAUGUGUUUUAAUACCUUGCCGCAUAUUCCUUGCCUUUUCCUUUAAUUUUCUGAUUUUGUUUCCUAUUUCUAGAAGCCUUAGACUUAAUUUUUGAUUACCUAAAUAACCUAGGGUUUUAAUUCCUGAAAUCCUUUAAAUAAACUAUCUUUUGCAGCCACAAAUCAUCCAUACACUGACCAUUCACGCAGGAACACCAUUCUAGCGCCCAGAAAAUACAAGCAGCCGCUCCACCUUCUUCCACCCUCUUUGCCGAGUUCUCCACCACCUUCCAACCAUCAAACACUCUUCCACACUCACCCUACACCCCUUGCCGUGCCUCUACACCCCCCAAAAUCCAAUCUACAUCAUCAAAACAGCCCAGAAACCAUCAACACCCAAUCUGCCGCAAGCAAGGAAAAGGGACAGAUUCACUCAAUUGUUGGGCUCUUCAUUCUGAGUUGUUGAACAAUUUUAGGUGUAUUCUAUCUUAUAUUUCAAUGUCUAAUUCAUGUAAUCUUUGUUUUGCUUUAAGUAUGAUUGGCUAAAUUCGUUUUGGAUAAGGGUGUAUUCAAAACCAUGAUUAUAUAUGUGAAAUAAGUUGAUUACUUCUAGUUAUCGUUGCAUAAGUCGUGAAUACAAUUUGCUUAACCGUUU
RNAcentral lists this long non-coding RNA (801 nucleotides) under Malus domestica (apple). Its description in RNAcentral is "long non-coding RNA (MDOM_LNC016507)". Lineage: Eukaryota; Viridiplantae; Streptophyta; Magnoliopsida; Rosales; Rosaceae. The record is from RNAcentral.